Molecule: ribosomal RNA, 860 nt
Filed under: Nephromopsis nivalis
Lineage: Eukaryota; Fungi; Ascomycota; Lecanoromycetes; Lecanorales; Parmeliaceae
Description: SSU rRNA
Rfam family: Bacterial small subunit ribosomal RNA
Source: RNAcentral
GUAUAGCAAUAGCUACUUGCAUCAUUGUAAAUAUGAUGCAAGAUCGACUAUGUCGAAUAAAAUUCUAGGUAGAAUUAUGAUAAUGACAUUGUCUGCCUAUGUGUCUUGACCAAAUUACGUGCCAGCAGUCGCGGUAAUACGUAGAAGACUAGUGUUAUUCAUGUUUAAUCGGUUUAAAGGGUACCUAGACGGUAAAUCAAGCCUAAAAGGAAAUAAAUGAAGGGACUAAUUUACUAGAGUUACUUAUGAGGGGGUAUUAAAGUACUGCUGGUGUAGAGAUGAAAUUCUGUCAUACCUCUUUUCAAUAGAAAAAUAAUGGCACAGGUAUAGGCGAAAGCAUCCCCUUAUGUGAUAACUGACGUUGAGGGACGAAGGCUUUGUGUAGCGAACAGGAUUAGAUACCCCAGUAGUCAAAGCAGAAAAUGAUGAAUGUCAUAGAUUAGAUAUAUAAGUUUAUUCUAUAAAUGAAAGUGUAAGCAUUCCACCUCAAGAGUAAUUUGGCAACAUUGGAACUGAAAUCAUUAGACCGUUUCUGAAACCAGUAGUGAAGUAUGUUGUUUAAUUUGAUGAUCCGCAAAAAACCUUACCACAAUUUGAAUAUUUAUAUCUUUUAUUGUUUUUCUUUUUAACUUUCUUCUGAUUUUCUACUUAAAAGAAAACAAUAACAAGAAAAAUGAGGCAAUAAGAUAUAUUUACAAGCGUUGCACGGCUGUCUUCAGUUAAUGUCGCGAGACUCUGGUUAGUUCCAUUAAAUUAACGUAAACCCUUACUUUAUUUUUAUAUAGAGUAGUUCCCCGCUAUAUUGGAUAUGAUAACAGGGACUAAGACAAGUCAUCAUGGCCUAAAUAUUGUGGGCUAUA